RNAcentral lists this ribosomal RNA (535 nucleotides) under uncultured Pseudomonadota bacterium. RNAcentral describes it as "bacterial SSU rRNA". It matches the Rfam family "Bacterial small subunit ribosomal RNA", at positions 8 to 522 of the family's 1533-position model. Lineage: Bacteria; Pseudomonadati; Pseudomonadota. The record is from RNAcentral.
AGAGUUUGAUCAUGGCUCAGAGCGAACGCUGGCGGCGUGCCUAACACAUGCAAGUCGAACGUGAAAGGGAGCAAUCCCAAGUAAAGUGGCGUACGGGUGAGUAACACGUAGGUAAUCUACCCUAGAAUCUGGAAUAACCUGCCGAAAGGCGGGCUAAUACUGGAUAGAGCGACGGAAUCCGUAAUUGGGUUUUUCGGGAAAGGGAGCUCGCAAGAGCCUUCGUUCUAGGAUGAGCCUGCGUCCCAUUAGCUAGUUGGUAAGGUAAUGGCUUACCAAGGCUUUGAUGGGUAGCUGGUCUGAGAGGAUGAUCAGCCACACUGGAACUGAAACACGGUCCAGACUCCUACGGGAGGCAGCAGUGGGGAAUCUUGCGCAAUGGACGAAAGUCUGACGCAGCCACGCCGCGUGAGUGAAGAAGGCCUUCGGGUUGUAAAGCUCUGUCGUUCGGGACGAAAAUCCAGUAAGUGAAUAGCUUAUGGGACUGACGGUACCGGAAAAGGAAGCACCGGCUAACUCCGUGCCAGCAGCCGCGGUA